This 497-nucleotide ribosomal RNA is filed under the name uncultured bacterium. RNAcentral describes it as "partial 16S ribosomal RNA". It matches the Rfam family "Bacterial small subunit ribosomal RNA", at positions 28 to 507 of the family's 1533-position model. The record is from RNAcentral.
GAUGAACGCUGGCGGCGUGCCUAAUACAUGCAAGUCGAGCGAACGGACGAGAAGCUUGCUUCUCUGAUGUUAGCGGCGGACGGGUGAGUAACACGUGGAUAACCUACCCAUAAGACUGGGAUAACUUCGGGAAACCGUAGCUAAUACCGGAUAAUAUUUUGAACCGCAUGGUUCAAAAGUGAAAGACGGUCUUGCUGUCACUUAUAGAUGGAUCCGCGCUGCAUUAGCUAGUUGGUAAGGUAACGGCUUACCAAGGCAACGAUGCAUAGCCGACCUGAGAGGGUGAUCGGCAACACUGGAACUGAGACACGGUCCAGACUCCUACGGGAGGCAGCAGUAGGGAAUCUUCCGCAAUGGGCGAAAGCCUGACGGAGCAACGCCGCGUGAGUGAUGAAGGUCUUCGGAUCGUAAAACUCUGUUAUUAGGGAAGAACAUAUGUGUAAGUAACUGUGCACAUCUUGACGGUACCUAAUCAGAAAGCCACGGCUAACUACGUG